CCUACGGGUGGCUGCAGUAGGGAAUUUUGCGCAAUGGGCGAAAGCCUGACGCAGCAACACCGCGUGAAUGUUAAGCCCUUCGGGGUGUAAAGUUCUGUCAAUAGGGACGAAUUUUGACUGUACCUAUAAAGGAAGCACCGGCUAACUCCGUGCCAGCAGCCGCGGUAAUACGGGGGGUGCAAGCGUUGUCCGGAAUCAUUGGGCGUAAAGCGUUCGUAGGCGGCAAGGUAAGUCUGAUGUUAAAGCCCGGGGCUCAACUCCGGUUCGGCAUUGGAUACUAUCUAGCUAGAAUGUGGUAGAGGUAAAGGGAAUUCCUGGUGUAGCGGUGAAAUGCGUAGAUAUCAGGAGGAACACCAGUGGCGAAGGCGGCUUACUGGACUGUAACUGACGUUGAGGCUCGAAAGCGUGGGGAGCAAACAGGAUUAGAUACCCUUGUAGUC
Molecule: ribosomal RNA, 440 nt
Filed under: uncultured bacterium
Lineage: Bacteria
Description: partial 16S ribosomal RNA
Rfam family: Bacterial small subunit ribosomal RNA
Source: RNAcentral